CGACCUGAGCUCAGGCAAGGCUACCCGCUGAACUUAAGCAUAUCAAUAAGCGGGAGGAACAGGA
RNAcentral lists this ribosomal RNA (64 nucleotides) under Scenedesmus sp. SSKV3. RNAcentral's name for it is "partial 28S ribosomal RNA". The record is from RNAcentral. Lineage: Eukaryota; Viridiplantae; Chlorophyta; Chlorophyceae; Sphaeropleales; Scenedesmaceae.